ACGCCGUUGAGGAGAAGUGGGAACGGAGGGAAGGUAACGCCAGUGAGGAGUGGGAACGGUGGGAAGGUGACACCGGUGAGAAGUGGGAACCGCAGGAAUGUAACGCCGUUGAGGAGAAGUGGGAACGGAGGGAAGGUAACGCCAGUGAGGAGUGGGAACGGUGGGAAGGUAACGCCAGUGAGGAGUGGGAACGGUGGGAAGGUGACACCGGUGAGAAGUGGGAACCGCAGGAAUGUAACGCCGUUGAGGAGAAGUGGGAACGGAGGGAAGGCUCCGGAGCAGAAUGGUCAUCAUGGACAGGCCGCCGGCUGCUGGGCUGUGACUGUUCUGAGGCUGAAAUGGGCAAACAGCCUUGCCUCCUCUCCACCUGCAGCUGCAAGCCUGGACAGUCGAGGCACCCCGGGAACCUCCCCUACGCUCAUGUCUUGCUCGUGCAUUUCUGAGCUCCCCGGCAGUUCAGCCUCCCUUGUAUUAAAUCCUGACAGGAAGCUUGGAUUAAGACCUCGGUAGUGCUAAAGCCGUUGCUCUCUG
Molecule: long non-coding RNA, 531 nt
Filed under: Homo sapiens (human)
Lineage: Eukaryota; Metazoa; Chordata; Mammalia; Primates; Hominidae
Description: non-protein coding LINC01166:1
Source: RNAcentral